GGCGGGCCCGGGAGCGCUGCACCCGCUGGAAAGGGGCCGCGGGGGAGCCUCCUCGGCCCGCAGCUCCCUGGCAGGAGGCUGCAACCGGGGGGGCCCGGGCUCUGCUCCCGGGCAGGCGGCGGCAGGAGGAGAGGACACGGCCUCGAGCUGCGCCAGAGGAGGUUUAGGGUGGGCAGUGAGAAGAAUUCCUUCACAGAAAGGAGUCAAACUGCAGACCAGUGCCCUGUUAGCAUGAGGAGAGGGUGUGGGAAUUGUCAGGGUGCUGCUGAAUUCCGGUUUGAAGAGGUGGAUCCCUUUCCUGGGAUGGGCAGGGUGGUUUUCAUCCCUUCUGGCUGAAGCUCCCUGUAAGUUCUCUGGGAUAAACCGGCUCAGCUCUGCUAUGAUCCCACAUCCAACACCUGCAAGCCAAACACAGCCUAGAUCAUCUCUGGAUAGGACUGGGGCAACUUUUGUACAGCUGUCAUUUUAAAGGAUAAUUACAAGCAUGAAUUACAGGAUAAUAAGCAGAGAUACCUUUUUAUCUGCCAGCAAUAAAACUAAUUCCAGUAACCCAUCUCACUGUGGUGGAACCAGGGAAAAGAACUCCUUUGCUGCGCUUUAUGGGAGGAAGGGAACAGUGGAGACUGAGCACUGGUGCUGUCAGUCGGUGUCACUGAGGAGGCAACUAGAACCAGUCUGUCCAAAACCAGCAAAGUUUGGUAAAGCUUUUGAGCUAGGUUAAACUCAGGGAGAGGUUUAUCUGCUUGUGCAGCCUCCCAAAUCACCAGCUGGGGAUGCGCAGGGAGCGGCGGCAUCCUGGCAGCCCAUCUGCCUGCACCAACAUUUCGGGUUGAGUAGACAGAGGAACGUCAAAGAGAGGUCUAAAUGCCCCAAAUGACAAAGAACCUUUUGCUCCCCCAGUGCCUGAUGUCACCAUCUCAGCCAGGGCAUUCAGCAUCUUCCAGGAACCCAGGGCUGCAUCACAAAGGAACAACGGGAUAGAGGCACCGAACCCAAACCCCUGCCUGGUUUUAUGCCUCAUAAACAAACUGCCUCGUAAAUAUGCCUUGUAAAUAAAAUAAAUAAAUACAGUAGUAGUGAUUUCCUUUUGUUUCAUCAGCUGAGAAGCUUACACCAAUGUGAGAUGCUGCCAAAAGUACUGGUCCUGUCCCUGCCCUUACUCCAGCCUUUCUCCCCAUCCUGGUUUUGGCUCAGCACUGUCAGUUUUUGGCUGGGCUUAUUCCAGCUUGCAGGUCAGUGGUGACAAGGGGAGGUGGAAAAGCUCUUCUGGAGCCCCAGCAUCACCCUUUCAUCCCACUCAUUUAUUUCUUCCUUAGCCCUCCUUACGAAAUUUCCCACUGAGGACAUUUAUUUUCCCUCUCACCUUAUUUUUAUCAGCCACUUCAUUUAUUGCCAAUGAACUGAUUUGUUCAAGCUGAGAAGGGUCAGCAGAUAAUGGAAAUAUGUGUUUAUGGGGAAAAGACAGUGCAAAUGCCAAGGAAAUAUGGCUGGGAGGCAGCUGGAAAGCCAAGGUGUAAACAUUUUAAUUUACUGACUAGGGAAGAAUAGAAAAAUCUUUGUUGCUGUUAUUGUCCAAAUAAUAAAAAUGGUAACAGAGCUGCUUUAUAGCCAUUUCUUUGUUAGUUAUAUAUAUUUAAUAGUAAUAUAGAUUUAGAGAUGUAUG
Molecule: long non-coding RNA, 1663 nt
Organism: Poecile atricapillus (Black-capped chickadee)
Lineage: Eukaryota; Metazoa; Chordata; Aves; Passeriformes; Paridae
Exons: 3
Source: RefSeq, a predicted model, not a curated record